AGAGUUUGAUCAUGGCUCAGGACGAACGCUGGCGGCGUGCCUAAUACAUGCAAGUCGAGCGGGGUAGCAAUACCCAGCGGCAGACGGGUGAGUAACACGUGGUCAACCUUCCCUAGCGUGGGGGAUAACUAGCCGAAAGGUUAGCUAAUACCGCAUAACAUCCACGAUCGGCAUCGAUUGUGGAUAAAAGGAGCAAUCCG
RNAcentral lists this ribosomal RNA (200 nucleotides) under uncultured bacterium. Its description in RNAcentral is "partial 16S ribosomal RNA". It matches the Rfam family "Bacterial small subunit ribosomal RNA", at positions 8 to 217 of the family's 1533-position model. The record is from RNAcentral.